RNAcentral lists this ribosomal RNA (289 nucleotides) under uncultured Paracoccaceae bacterium. RNAcentral describes it as "uncultured Rhodobacteraceae bacterium partial 16S ribosomal RNA". Lineage: Bacteria; Pseudomonadati; Pseudomonadota; Alphaproteobacteria; Rhodobacterales; Paracoccaceae. The record is from RNAcentral.
CUACAGGGGUAUCUAAUCCUGUUUGCUCCCCACACUUUCGCACCUCAGCGUCAGUAUCGAGCCAGUAAGCCGCCUUCGCCACUGGUGUUCCUCCGAAUAUCUACGAAUUUCACCUCUACACUCGGAAUUCCACUUACCUCUCUCGAACUCAAGACUACCAGUAUCAGAGGCCGUUCCGGGGUUGAGCCCCGGGAUUUCACCCCUGACUUAAUAGUCCGCCUACGUGCGCUUUACGCCCAGUAAUUCCGAACAACGCUAGCCCCCUCCGUAUUACCGCGGCUGCUGGCAC